CCUACGGGAGGCAGCAGUGAGGAAUAUUGGUCAAUGGACGAGAGUCUGAACCAGCCAAGUAGCGUGAAGGAUGACUGCCCUAUGGGUUGUAAACUUCUUUUAUAUGGGAAUAAAAUGUUCCACGUGUGGGAUUUUGUAUGUACCAUAUGAAUAAGGAUCGGCUAACUCCGUGCCAGCAGCCGCGGUAAUACGGAGGAUCCGAGCGUUAUCCGGAUUUAUUGGGUUUAAAGGGAGCGUAGGUGGAGUGUUAAGUCAGUUGUGAAAGUUUGCGGCUCAACCGUAAAAUUGCAGUUGAAACUGGCAGUCUUGAGUACAGUAGAGGUGGGCGGAAUUCGUGGUGUAGCGGUGAAAUGCUUAGAUAUCACGAAGAACUCCGAUUGCGAAGGCAGUUCACUGGACUGCAACUGACACUGAGGCUCGAAAGUGUGGGUAUCAAACAGGAUUAUAUACCCCAGUAGUC
This 460-nucleotide ribosomal RNA is filed under the name uncultured bacterium. RNAcentral describes it as "partial 16S ribosomal RNA". It matches the Rfam family "Bacterial small subunit ribosomal RNA", at positions 338 to 795 of the family's 1533-position model. The record is from RNAcentral.